This 72-nucleotide transfer RNA is filed under the name Olavius algarvensis Delta 1 endosymbiont. It matches the Rfam family "tRNA". From Rfam's summary of the family: Transfer RNA (tRNA) molecules are approximately 80 nucleotides in length. Their secondary structure includes four short double-helical elements and three loops (D, anti-codon, and T loops). Lineage: Bacteria; Deltaproteobacteria. The record is from Rfam by way of RNAcentral. RNAcentral also lists the same sequence under 1 other name.
ACCAGGAUAGCUCAGUUGGUAGAGCAACGGAAUCUAAUCCGUAGGCCGCAGGUUCAACUCCUGCUCCAUUUA